This 204-nucleotide unclassified non-coding RNA is filed under the name Pseudolyophyllum metachroum. RNAcentral's name for it is "Clitocybe metachroa partial internal transcribed spacer 2". Lineage: Eukaryota; Fungi; Basidiomycota; Agaricomycetes; Agaricales. The record is from RNAcentral.
AAUUCUCAACCCUUUCAGCUUUUGCGAGUUGAUUUGGCUUGGAUGUGGGGGUUGCGGGCUUCUCAGAAGUCGGCUCCUCUUAAAUGCAUUAGCGGAACCUUUGUGGACCAGCUUUGGUGUGAUAAUUAUCUACGCCAUGGCCGUGAAGCAGCUUUACAUGGGGUUCAGCUUCUAACCGUCCAUUGACUUGGACAAUUUCUGACA